Molecule: ribosomal RNA, 761 nt
Filed under: Prevotella melaninogenica
Lineage: Bacteria; Pseudomonadati; Bacteroidota; Bacteroidia; Bacteroidales; Prevotellaceae
Description: bacterial SSU rRNA
Rfam family: Bacterial small subunit ribosomal RNA
Source: RNAcentral
GAUGAACGCUAGCUACAGGCUUAACACAUGCAAGUCGAGGGGAAACGGCAUUGAGUGCUUGCACUCUUUGGACGUCGACCGGCGCACGGGUGAGUAACGCGUAUCCAACCUUCCCAUUACUGUGGGAUAACCUGCCGAAAGGCAGACUAAUACCGCAUAGUCUUCGAUGACGGCAUCAGAUUUGAAGUAAAGAUUUAUCGGUAAUGGAUGGGGAUGCGUCUGAUUAGCUUGUUGGCGGGGUAACGGCCCACCAAGGCUACGAUCAGUAGGGGUUCUGAGAGGAAGGUCCCCCACAUUGGAACUGAGACACGGUCCAAACUCCUACGGGAGGCAGCAGUGAGGAAUAUUGGUCAAUGGACGGAAGUCUGAACCAGCCAAGUAGCGUGCAGGAUGACGGCCCUAUGGGUUGUAAACUGCUUUUGUAUGGGGAUAAAGUUAGGGACGUGUCCCUAUUUACAGGUACCAUACGAAUAAGGACCGGCUAAUUCCGUGCCAGCAGCCGCGGUAAUACGGAAGGUCCAGGCGUUAUCCGGAUUUAUUGGGUUUAAAGGGAGCGUAGGCUGGAGAUUAAGUGUGUUGUGAAAUGUAGACGCUCAACGUCUGAAUUGCAGCGCAUACUGGUUUCCUUGAGUACGCACAACGUUGGCGGAAUUCGUCGUGUAGCGGUGAAAUGCUUAGAUAUGACGAAGAACUCCGAUUGCGAAGGCAGCUGACGGGAGCGCAACUGACGCUUAAGCUCGAAGGUGCGGGUAUCAAACAGG